RNAcentral lists this small RNA (68 nucleotides) under Salibacterium halotolerans. RNAcentral describes it as "Bacillaceae-1 RNA". It matches the Rfam family "Bacillaceae-1 RNA". Lineage: Bacteria; Bacillati; Bacillota; Bacilli; Caryophanales; Bacillaceae. The record is from RNAcentral.
GAAAGAGGACCUUCUACUAAAACCGCGCACGUCCUGUGCCGGGCGUAGAAGUCACCACAUCCUGCGGG